AUGGCGACAACAGCUUUGGCAAACGGCCUAAGAAAAAAUCGAAAAAAUCGUGCAUGUGUACAUUCCCAUGCGGUCAAACCCCACCACCACCGUCGGAACCUGAUGUGCCAGAGCCGCCCGAAGUGCCAGUGCCCGGGCCACCGCCGAGGGCCGGCCAUAUUUAUUGAGUGAGUAAAUGAUCAUAUGUAUGAACCUGAGGUCUCGAGGAAAGAGAGGAAACAAUCACUGCUUAAUUUGUACACAUGCAUGAUUGAUUGCAUAAGAAUGACAAUAAUAAUAAUCUAAAGUGAAUCAACAGUAAACAUAAGUGUCUCUACCAUGGAUCAUAGUGUGGAGUAACUUAGACUAGUAACAUGCAUAUAUUACUGGUCUAUAUUACUAC
This 382-nucleotide long non-coding RNA is filed under the name Triticum aestivum (bread wheat). Its description in RNAcentral is "long non-coding RNA (TAES_LNC026318)". The record is from RNAcentral. Lineage: Eukaryota; Viridiplantae; Streptophyta; Magnoliopsida; Poales; Poaceae.